GUGACGUCACAGCUGUGCUUUACACACAGAACGACGUUACAGAUCCCAUCGGAUUUCAACUGACUACACUCUGAUGGUCCAUCCAUUAGAUUUGAUCAAUACCUCAGUAGAUUAUUAAGUUAUAUUCUAACUGCUCAUGGUUUGUCCUACAGCCAGUUUCGAGGUAACAGUGAAUGGUAAACUGGCCUACUCUAAACUGGAGGCCGGAGGAUUCCCAGACACCAAGGAGAUGGUGGCGAUGGUGAAGGAGGUGAGCCGCGGAGGAAAGGUUGAGAGAGUGAAGAAGAAGGAUAAUAAGUGUGUUCUCCAAUAGAUGAGUGGAUAUUAAGAGAGGGAGAGGAGGAGCGUUUUUUAAGAUCCUGGGUCCUGAUCUGAUUCUAUUAAUGAUUGUUCACAAUGAAACUAAGGAUGUGCAACAUGAUGAAGUCUACAGUCAUUUCAACUCUGUGAUCUGAGGGAAAUACUCUCAUCCUGUGUCUCUGUUUUAUACUGUCAUGUCUUAUGUUAUUCCUUGUCUGUUUUUCUUUCGUUAUACAGACAAAGAUAUUAUAGACUGACUAGCAUUUAGUUUUACAUUCUAGAAAUGAUAUUGUACUCAAUGUAGACCUCUGCAGUUGUAUAGGCUGUACGUGUAUUUUUAAAUGAUCACAUAAAUUCUAUGAAUCAA
Long non-coding RNA from Salvelinus namaycush (lake trout), 667 nucleotides. RefSeq lists it as uncharacterized. NCBI's taxonomy places the organism in Eukaryota, Metazoa, Chordata, Actinopteri, Salmoniformes, Salmonidae. The record is from RefSeq and is a predicted model, not a curated record. The transcript is spliced from 2 exons.